Molecule: ribosomal RNA, 376 nt
Filed under: uncultured bacterium
Lineage: Bacteria
Description: bacterial SSU rRNA
Rfam family: Bacterial small subunit ribosomal RNA
Source: RNAcentral
UACGUAGGGUGCAAGCGUUGUUCGGAAUCACUGGGCGUAAAGGGCGCGUAGGCGGCUUGCCAAGUCAGGUGUGAAAUCCCGUGGCUUAACUGCGGAACUGCGCCUGAAACUGGUAGGCUUGAGUACGGGAGAGGGUAGCGGAAUUCCGAGUGUAGAGGUGAAAUUCGUAGAUAUUCGGAGGAACACCGGUGGCGAAGGCGGCUACCUGGACCGAUACUGACGCUGAGGCGCGAAAGCGUGGGGAGCAAACAGGAUUAGAUACCCUGGUAGUCCACGCUGUAAACGAUGAGUGCUAGGUGUCGCGGGUAUUGACCCCUGCGGUACCGCAGCUAACGCAUUAAGCACUCCGCCUGGGGAGUACGGCCGCAAGGUUAAA